GGGGAAUAUUGCACAAUGGGCGAAAGCCUGAUGCAGCGACGCCGCGUGAGGGAUGAAGGCCUUCGGGUUGUAAACCUCUUUUAGUAGGGAAGAAGCGAAAGUGACGGUACCUGCAGAAAAAGCACCGGCUAACUACGUGCCAGCAGCCGCGGUAAUACGUAGGGUGCAAGCGUUAUCCGGAAUUAUUGGGCGUAAAGAGCUCGUAGGCGGUUUGUCGCGUCUGCUGUGAAAACCCGAGGCUCAACCUCGGGCCUGCAGUGGGUACGGGCAGACUAGAGUGCGGUAGGGGAGAUUGGAAUUCCUGGUGUAGCGGUGGAAUGCGCAGAUAACAGGAGGAACACCGAUGGCGAAGGCAGAUCUCUGGGCCGUAACUGACGCUGAGGAGCGAAAGCAUGGGGAGCGAAC
Molecule: ribosomal RNA, 405 nt
Filed under: uncultured bacterium
Lineage: Bacteria
Description: bacterial SSU rRNA
Rfam family: Bacterial small subunit ribosomal RNA
Source: RNAcentral